CCCUUAGAUGUUCUGGGCUGCACGCGCGCUACACUGAUGCGCUCAACGAGUUUUAACCUUGCCUGGAAAGGUUGGGUAAUCUUUUUAAAACGCAUCGUGAUGGGGAUAGAUUAUUGCAAUUAUUAAUCUUCAACGAGGAAUUCCUAGUAAGCGCGAGUCAUCAGCUCGUGCUGAUUACGUCCCUGCCCUUUGUACACACCGCCCGUUGCUCCUACCGAUUGAGUGAUCCGGUGAAUAAUUCGGACUGCGGCAUUGACCGGUUCCCGAUCGUUGCUGCGGAAAGUUUAGUGAACCUUAUCACUUAGAGGAAGGAGAAGUCGUAACA
Molecule: ribosomal RNA, 325 nt
Filed under: uncultured eukaryote
Lineage: Eukaryota
Description: partial 18S ribosomal RNA
Rfam family: Eukaryotic small subunit ribosomal RNA
Source: RNAcentral